RNAcentral lists this ribosomal RNA (795 nucleotides) under Flavobacterium sp. IMCC1765. RNAcentral's name for it is "bacterial SSU rRNA". It matches the Rfam family "Bacterial small subunit ribosomal RNA", at positions 66 to 865 of the family's 1533-position model. The record is from RNAcentral. Lineage: Bacteria; Pseudomonadati; Bacteroidota; Flavobacteriia; Flavobacteriales; Flavobacteriaceae.
GGGGUAGAAGGAGCUUGCUCCUUUGAGACCGGCGCACGGGUGCGUAACGCGUAUGCAAUCUACCUUGUACAGGGGGAUAGCCCAGAGAAAUUUGGAUUAAUACCCCAUAGUAUCUUCGGAAGGCAUCUUCUGAUUAUUAAAGUUCCAACGGUACAAGAUGAGCAUGCGUCCCAUUAGCUAGUUGGUGUGGUAACGGCACACCAAGGCAACGAUGGGUAGGGGUCCUGAGAGGGAGAUCCCCCACACUGGUACUGAGACACGGACCAGACUCCUACGGGAGGCAGCAGUGAGGAAUAUUGGUCAAUGGACGCAAGUCUGAACCAGCCAUGCCGCGUGCAGGAUGACGGUCCUAUGGAUUGUAAACUGCUUUUGUACAGGAAGAAACACUCCCUCGUGAGGGGGCUUGACGGUACUGUAAGAAUAAGGAUCGGCUAACUCCGUGCCAGCAGCCGCGGUAAUACGGAGGAUCCAAGCGUUAUCCGGAAUCAUUGGGUUUAAAGGGUCCGUAGGCGGUUUUAUAAGUCAGUGGUGAAAUCUGGUCGCUCAACGAUCAAACGGCCAUUGAUACUGUAAGACUUGAAUUACUUGGAAGUAACUAGAAUAUGUAGUGUAGCGGUGAAAUGCUUAGAGAUUACAUGGAAUACCAAUUGCGAAGGCAGGUUACUACGAGUAUAUUGACGCUGAUGGACGAAAGCGUGGGGAGCGAACAGGAUUAGAUACCCUGGUAGUCCACGCCGUAAACGAUGGAUACUAGCUGUUUGGAGUAAUCUGAGUGGCUAAGCGAAAGUGAUAAGU